RNAcentral lists this long non-coding RNA (517 nucleotides) under Betta splendens (Siamese fighting fish). RNAcentral's name for it is "lncRNA (ENSBSLG00000000803.1)". Lineage: Eukaryota; Metazoa; Chordata; Actinopteri; Anabantiformes; Osphronemidae. The record is from RNAcentral.
GGCAAAUCAGGCGGUGGGGAUAUGCAGCAUUAUCCCCGUCUGCAGGCUGCAUCUGAUGUUGUUCCACCUCCACACGCAUUUCUCCCAGGAUUACGUACACACUGACUUACAGCAGCGGCGGCGAGCUGCCUGAUGAGGAUGAUGAUGAUGAUGAUGAUGAUGCCACAUACGUACGGCUGUGAUACACUGCAGCACAGGCGGCGGCGGCGCCGGCCUCGGAGCCCGGAGACGAUCCGGCUGCAGCAUCGGGCCGGACGGAAGGAGGCCUGGUGUGCUGCUGCACAGACCCACUCUGAGCUUUCAGUGGUUUCAUAAAUUGCUGCAUUCUUAAGUGUCAAGACGUUGGGGUUCGUCAUGUCUGCGCCGGUUUAGCUGACGAAGCCAAAGUGGGCGUCCUGGAUCAACCCUCGCUUCCAGUACGACGACGGAUACGCUGUUACCUGAAUAAUGAGCAGCGCCGACCCGUCAGAGGUGCAGAGCUGUUUCAUUUGAAUCUCAUUUGAAUUGGGUGCCGGAG